Molecule: ribosomal RNA, 465 nt
Filed under: Vreelandella stevensii
Lineage: Bacteria; Pseudomonadati; Pseudomonadota; Gammaproteobacteria; Oceanospirillales; Halomonadaceae
Description: partial 16S ribosomal RNA
Rfam family: Bacterial small subunit ribosomal RNA
Source: RNAcentral
CCUACGGGUGGCUGCAGUGGGGAAUAUUGGACAAUGGGGGGAACCCUGAUCCAGCCAUGCCGCGUGUGUGAAGAAGGCCCUCGGGUUGUAAAGCACUUUCAGUGAGGAAGAACGCCUGGUGGUUAAUACCCAUCAGGAAAGACAUCACUCACAGAAGAAGCACCGGCUAACUCCGUGCCAGCAGCCGCGGUAAUACGGAGGGUGCGAGCGUUAAUCGGAAUUACUGGGCGUAAAGCCCGCGUAGGUGGCUUGAUAAGCCGGUUGUGAAAGCCCCGGGCUCAACCUGGGAACGGCAUCCGGAACUGUCAAGCUAGAGUGCAGGAGAGGAAGGUAGAAUUCCCGGUGUAGCGGUGAAAUGCGUAGAGAUCGGGAGGAAUACCAGUGGCGAAGGCGGCCUUCUGGACUGAAACUGACACUGAGGUGCGAAAGCGUGGGUAGCAAACAGGAUUAGAUACCCCGGUAGUC